UGAGAGCUCUCUAGUUCUGUAUGAGCUCAGCCAUGAUACGCCUUUCCUUCCAUAACAACAGUGACAUCUGGGUUCAAACAAAACUUGUUAAGCUUUUUGGAAAACUUUGUAGCGUUUAGAGCAGAUACAGCUCUUCUAAGCACCACCACCUGUGAGUGGCAAAGUACUGUCCCUUUGUGUCCCCGCUCUCCUCUGUGCGAGAGCAAAAUGUGUAAAUUUGAGCAAGUGCAUUUGUCAGGAGAAGUAACUGAAGUCUCUCAGUUCCAGCACCACCUUUGAACAGAAGAAUUGCUUGCCUUCGAGAGUUCGUGCCCCUGAGUCCUUCCCGUACGCCAUGUCAUGGAAAGACUAAAGAUCCUGAUCGUGCCUUUGCAGCCUCAACCUUUAAGCCUUAACUCUGUCACCUGGGUACGAGGUGCCUCGAGUCCCGCGAUAACAGAGGAUCCUCUGCCAAUUCCUUACAAUGUGCAUAAUGCCAAAUAGGUGAAGUUCAAAGAGUACGCUUACAUCCUUGUUUCGUUUCCAGUAGGGUUUUGUCGUUUUCUAACAUUUAAGACACAUUUGAAAGCUCUAAUGUAACUGUUCUGUGUUGGGGGAGAGGGCAGUGGGGUGUGGGGAUGCAGGAAGGGUUUAAAUCACUAAAAAUGCACAUUUAGGACUAUGUAAAUGUUUGGAUUAAGAAGUAUAUUUCUAAAAACUGGGUGCAAAGUGCAAAAUGGGAUCUAAAUAUAGAAACGCAAAGAGCUAAGAAACCAGCCAUGGUAUUUUUCUGGGAAGAAGUUAAUGCCUUUUGAAAAGAACGUUCCUCAAAAGACUGAAUUUUCACCAUUUGUAUUACUACCAGUGUAAAAUAAUACAUGUCGAGUAGAAUGUGCAAAAUUAGGAUUAUUUAAAAGUUCAGUUCUGUCAAGGUUCUUGUUGGCAAUGUAGAAUAAAAAGGUUAUGAAUCCUCUUGGAGCCA
Molecule: long non-coding RNA, 961 nt
Filed under: Calidris pygmaea (Spoon-billed sandpiper)
Lineage: Eukaryota; Metazoa; Chordata; Aves; Charadriiformes; Scolopacidae
Description: lncRNA (ENSCPGG00000001316.1)
Source: RNAcentral